AGGACCCCAUUUUCAGGGGUUGCUCCGUUCUCUGGCCAGUCGCGCUGUGUCCUCUGCAGCAGAAGGUUAGAUCCAGAGGGAUGACUCCAGGCGACGAGUUGCUUGCCUUCCUCUCAUGUUUCUCAUUUUUUCUCUCUCUCUCUCUCUCCUGUGUUGGCCAACACUCUUUCUUAGUCUGUCCUUUCCUUGUGCCGUCUCUCUUCUUAGGACACAGGCAGGCCUGCAAGGUGUGCAUCCCCACAGGUUAGGUCUUGGGAGCCCUGGAGUAGUAGGAGGGGACCAAAACCAUGUGAGGAAGUAGAGCAGUGAUUGUCAGUGUUUAACUCAGUCGUCUUUCGCGUGGGGCCAAUGUAGAUGAGAUGGAAGAGGGAGGCAGGGAUGAGGGCAAGAUUUCAAGCACCAAUAGAGCUUUGUGUAGUGAUGGUUUCUACUUGGGUGUUGCAGCUUCUGUUGCAGAGGAAUCAUUCGGGAGCCCUGGCCCAAGGAGAAACUGCUGGACGUGGAUCUGAGCAGCCUGGACAUCCUUCUAAAGAGACGUGAACAGUCUUUAGCUUUCUGCCUCCCACAUAACUGGCUGUGAGUAAGAGGUCAGUGCUUUGAAUUCCUCAUCUGUACUCACUGUAAUUUUCUUCACAGGCCGUGUGCUUCCUCAUUGAAAACGGUGCUCUGUGGGAUUCAGAUGAGGGAAAGGCACAAGUCUCCUGUGCAGAUACCAAAGGAAAAGGAGUGGAGGGUCAGAAUCCGCUCCCGUCCUGCGAUGGAAGGCAAGUGAGAGCUGGGAGACUGCAAGCAUUGUUUAUGCCAGUCAAGAGCCAUCCAGCUGGGAGUGGAGCAACUGUCACCAUCAGUGAGAUAAGUGUCUCAUUAAGUGAGGGCUCUGCUCACUGCCCACUUGGCUCCAGCUGCACUGGCAGAGGAAUUGUCCUGGAGCCCUACCUGGAGGAGAGAGACUCAGAAGUGGACCUGAUCAGCCUGAACAUCCUUCUUAGCAGACAUGAACAGUUCUCAGUUUUCUCCCUCCCGCAUACUUGACUGUGAGUAAGAGGUCAGUGCUUUUAAUUCAUCAUCUAUAGUCUCUGUAUUAUUCUUCACAUGCUGUGUCCUUACUCGUUGGGUAUGGGUCUUUGUGGGAUUAAGGCUGGGGAAGGGACCAGAGUCACAGUAGCCAACUUCCCCUGGGUAAAUGAGG
Long non-coding RNA from Gopherus flavomarginatus (Mexican gopher tortoise), 1189 nucleotides. RefSeq lists it as uncharacterized. The record is from RefSeq and is a predicted model, not a curated record. NCBI's taxonomy places the organism in Eukaryota, Metazoa, Chordata, Testudines, Testudinidae. The transcript is spliced from 3 exons.